GAGUUUUCAGCUAUGGGGUUUCUGCUUCCUAAUCGGCGUCGUUUCGUGGGUGCUGGAUUGGAUUGGGAAAACUGUCUCUAAUCUCGUUGCUGGUUUAUUUUGGGAAAUAUAAUUUAUAAUGUAAUUAAUUAAUCUCUAUCCAUUCGGACUCAUUUCAAAUCCAUUUGUUUCAAAUGUUUCAAUCUAAAAUAUAUACGCAGCAGCCUCAUAUUUUGGUUCCAAAUAGAUAAGUUCAUCUUUUGUUGGCUAUGCAAGUCUUGAAUCUUGAUAUAUAUGAGCAAAAUAUUUCCAACAUAUUCUUUAAUUAUUAAUUAGCUAAAUUUCUUACACAAAAUUUUUCUAUCUUUAGCAUAAAACACCACACUAAAUUCCCUUCUUUUUUUUUUUUUCCUUUAUGGAAUUUAAUCAGAAUAUUUCAGACAUAUAUAAUCGAAGGGUAAAUUACAACCACCCAUGGUCAAAUUACGAAAAAAUUUGUUUAGGUAAUUAACAAGCACCCCUCACCUAUAUAUAUCUUCUUACAUGUCCAUCCUUGAGGUUUCAAAUUCAGUGAAAUCUUCUAAAUUAUAUGCAAUAUUCUACAUUUUGAAGCUAGAUGAUCAUAAGAUGUGUUUUUUGGUUUGUACAUAUAUCAAAUUGUGGUGCAUCAGAAACUAUAUUUUUGCACAAAACGAGUACAAACUAGAGAACACUCCCAGGAAUCUAGAUGAUUAUAUAUGUUGAAUUUAACACCAUAAGGAUUUGGGAUGUAAGAAGAUUCAUAGUUAAAGGGUAGAUGUAACUAUCCAAAGAGAAGAAAGUUUUUCAUAAUUUAAUCAUACAUCUGGUUGUAAUUUACCCAUAAUAGAAUUCAGGCACAUGGAUUAGUACCAAAAAAGAAAGAAAAAAAAUCAUUGGCAAGUUCACAGAGUUAUAGUGGAAUUAAAAUGAAACAAUUGUUUUCCAGAAGGGGAAGCGGGUAGACAGACAACACAUGUAUAUACAGUAUGAUUAAUCGCAAACUGAAAAAACGAGAGGUUCGUAUGAUUAUAGUUGUGCAGAGAACUAACCUGAAGGUGCGCUGAAGGUACUUUACUUGUGGUGGAUUGAUCAGGAAUGCAAAAAUGAAAUGAGGUACGUAUAUAUGGAAUUGGUGUAGUCGGUGGGGAUUUUUUCCAUUCUCCAAGUCAACUUUUUACA
RNAcentral lists this long non-coding RNA (1179 nucleotides) under Erythranthe guttata (spotted monkey flower). RNAcentral describes it as "long non-coding RNA (EGUT_LNC002430)". The record is from RNAcentral. Lineage: Eukaryota; Viridiplantae; Streptophyta; Magnoliopsida; Lamiales; Phrymaceae.